Molecule: ribosomal RNA, 440 nt
Filed under: uncultured bacterium
Lineage: Bacteria
Description: partial 16S ribosomal RNA
Rfam family: Bacterial small subunit ribosomal RNA
Source: RNAcentral
CUACGGGUCGCACCAGUGAGGAAUAUUGCACAAUGGGGGGAACCCUGAUGCAGCAACGCCGCGUGGAGGAUGACGCAUUUCGGUGUGUAAACUCCUUUUAUAUGUCAAGAAAAUGACGGUAGCAUAUGAAUAAGCACCGGCUAACUCCGUGCCAGCAGCCGCGGUAAUACGGGGGGUGCAAGGCGUUACUCGGAAUCACUGGGCGUAAAGGACGCGUAGGCGGGUUGGAAAGUCAGGUGUGAAAUCCUACAGCUUAACUGUAGAACUGCACUUGAAACUUCUAAUCUAGAGUAUGGGAGGGGGAGAUGGAAUUAGUGGUGUAGGGGUAAAAUCCGUAGAUAUCACUAGGAAUACCUAAAGCGAAGGCGAUCUCCUGGAACAUUACUGACGCUAAGGCGUGAAAGCGUGGGGAGCAAACAGGAUUAGAUACCCUGGUAGUC